RNAcentral lists this ribosomal RNA (449 nucleotides) under uncultured bacterium. RNAcentral describes it as "partial 16S ribosomal RNA". It matches the Rfam family "Bacterial small subunit ribosomal RNA", at positions 29 to 523 of the family's 1533-position model. The record is from RNAcentral.
AACGAACGCCGGCGGCAGGCCUAACACAUGCAAGUCGAACGGACCCUUCGGGGUUAGUGGCGCACGGGUGAGCAACACGUGGGAAUAUGCCCUUGGGUAAGGAAAAACAGUUCGAAACGACUGCUAAUACCUUAUAACAUCGCGAGAUCAAAGAUUUAUCGCCCAAGGAUUAGCCCGCGUUAGAUUAGGUAGUUGGUGGGGUAAUAGCCUACCAAGCCUACGAUCUAUAGCUGGUCUUAGAGGAUGACCAGCCACACUGGGACUGAGACACGGCCCAGACCCCUACGGGAGGCAGCAGUGAGGAAUAUUGGACAAUGGGCGAAAGCCUGAUCCAGCCAUGCCGCGUGAAUGAUGAAGGCCUUAGGGUUGUAAAGUUCUUUUAGUAGUGAAGAUGAUGACGGUAACUACAGAAAAAGCUCCGGCUAACUUCGUGCCAGCCGCCGCCGUAA